Gossypium arboreum is the source of this 1256-nucleotide RNA transcript. It is a transcript of the gene named 6-phosphofructo-2-kinase/fructose-2,6-bisphosphatase-like, with no coding region annotated. The transcript is spliced from 9 exons. Lineage: Eukaryota; Viridiplantae; Streptophyta; Magnoliopsida; Malvales; Malvaceae. The record is from RefSeq and is a predicted model, not a curated record.
CAACUGUCAAAUUUUUUUAACCAAAACUCCGUCGUUUUUUUUAAAACUCCCGAUAGCUGUUCUUUUUCCCCUUAACAAAAUUUCCCUCAUUCCAUCUCUUCUCCUUUAAUCCCUAAAUUUUCAUCCCCAAGUUCCCAACCCAUUUGCCACCGAAGACGCCGACCGGACCACCUGCUGCAUCGCCCUCGACUAACCUCUCUGCUGCGUCGCCGUCGCCUGCUCAUCCUGCUCAGAAAUGAGAUUAUAUUUUUCACAACGGUAAAUUAAAUGGGAAGCGCCAUGUACGACCUUACUACUUUGAGUUCGUCUCUCAUGUUAAUAAACGAUGGGAAGGUAAAACAAUAGUGGAUUUGUUCGCUCAAGAGUUCAAAGGUCGAUCUAGAGAUUACUAUAUUAUUUUUCUAGAAACAAUAUGCAACGAUGAAAAGAUUAUUGAAAGAAAUAUUCGCCUUAAAAUUCAACAAAGUCCUGACUAUGCAGAAGAUUUUGCGGGCCAGAUUUCGAAGCUGGAUUACAAGACUUUACAACCCGGUUAGCUAAUUACGAAAAGGUUUAUGAACCAGUUGAUGAAGGGUCUUACAUCAAAAUGAUUGAUAUGGCUAGUGGGCAUGGUGGACAAAUACAAGUUAACAACAUCAGUGGCUAUCUUCCUGGACGAAUCGUCUUCUUCUUGUGAUACCGGAGAAAUUUAUAUGAAGAAACUCGCAAACUUUGUUGAGAAGCGACUGAAAUCUGAAAGGACUGCUUCUCACCCUAUAGAGAACAAUUCUGACAGCAAGUCCAAUUGAUGGAUUUCCAAAGGUUAGUGGGAAACCACAAGAAAGUAACUUAUACAUCCUUUCUUUCACAUUCUAGCCCAUUCUGGCUGCUGAAUGAAGUAUAUAUUGAUAUGUUAACAGAGGAAAAACCAACUACACUAGAUUGCGGUCCAAGAACAAUUUGCAAGAGGCACAUAAUGACUAGCUCCAACCUCUACGAAUGCUUGUGGGAGGCAUUGCAGCAGCGAAUAAGGAUGAUAACAUGCAGUUGACACCGUAUGUGCUAUGAAUCCGAAUUCAGGUGUGACUUUUAGAUAUUUUAUGUGCAAAAAAAAUAUUAGAGUGUCUUAUAUUUAUAUGUUAGUUAAGCAGAUUAUAGAUAGAACCUGCAGUAGGAUCAACUAAUUAGUUGAUCAAAAGCUACACCCUAUUUUGUAAUCGUCUACUUGCAUAUUUGCAUAUACUUAAUAAUAAUCUCAUGUCAACUAAUUAUUCUAA